This 777-nucleotide ribosomal RNA is filed under the name uncultured bacterium. RNAcentral's name for it is "bacterial SSU rRNA". It matches the Rfam family "Bacterial small subunit ribosomal RNA", at positions 55 to 807 of the family's 1533-position model. The record is from RNAcentral.
AUGCAAGUCGAGCGAGAAGGGGACUUCGGUUCCUGAGUAAAGCGGCGGACGGGUGAGUAACACGUGGGUAAUCUGCCCUCGGGUGGGGAAUAACUCAGGGAAACCUGGGCUAAUUCCGCAUGACACUUUCGAUACUUAAGUAUUGAGAAUCAAAGCUGGGGACCCUUCGGGGCCUGGCGCCUGAGGAGGAGCCCGCGGCCAAUUAGCUUGAUGGUGAGGUAACGGCUCACCAUGGCUACGAUUGGUAGCCGGCCUGAGAGGGCGUACGGUCACACUGGGACUGAGACACGGCCCAGACUCCUGCGGGAGGCAGCAGUGGGGAAUUUUUGUCAAUGGGGGAAACCCUGAACAAGCAACGCCGCGUGAAGGACGAAGACCUUCGGGUUGUAAACUUCUGUCGGAGGGGACGAAAGCUUUUGUGGUCAAUACCCAUGAUUGUUGACGGUACCCUAUGAGGAAGCCCCGGCUAACUCCGUGCCAGCAGCCGCGGUAACACGUAGGGGGCGAGCGUUGUCCGGAUUUAUUGGGCGUAAAGAGCUCGUAGGUGGCUUGGUAAGUCGGGUGUGAAAACUCCAGGCUCAACUUGAAGACGCCACUCGAUACUGCCAUGGCUAGAGUCCGGUAGAGGAGCGUGGAAUUCCCAGUGUAGCGGUGAAAUGCAUAGAUAUUGGGAGGAACACCAGCGGCGAAAGCGGCGCUCUGGGCCGGUACUGACACUGAGGAGCGAAAGCGUGGGGAUCAACAGGAUUAGAUACCCUGGUAGUCCACGCCGUAAAC